GUCCAGACACCUACGGGUGGCAGCAGUCGAGAAUCAUUCACAAUGGGCGCAAGCCUGAUGGUGCGACGCCGCGUGGGGGAUGAAGGGCUUCGGUCUGUAAACCCCUGUCAUCUGUGAGUAAGGUCUCGUAUAAAAGCUACGAGAAUUGAUAUUAACAGAAGAGGAAGGGACGGCUAACUCUGUGCCAGCAGCCGCGGUAAUACAGAGGUCCCAAGCGUUGUUCGGAUUUACUGGGCGUAAAGAGUGCGUAGGCGGUCGAAAAAGUUUGGUGUGAAAUCUUCGGGCUUAACCCGAAAACUGCAUUGAAAACUAUUUGACUAGAGGAUAGGAGAGGAGAUUGGAAUUCUCAGUGUAGCAGUGAAAUGCGUAGAUAUUGAGAGGAACACCAGUUGCGAAGGCGGAUCUCUGGACGAUUCCUGACGCUGAGGCACGAAAGCUGGGGGAGCGAAGAGGAUUAGAUACCCUCGUAGUCCCAGCCGUAAACGGUGCUCACUUGCUGUGGGCGGAUUCGACCCCGUCCGUGGCGAAGCUAACGCGUUAAGUGCGCCGCCUGGGGAGUACGGUCGCAAGAUUAAAACUCAAAGAAAUUGACGGGGGCCUGCACAAGCGGUGGAGUAUGUGGCUUAAUUCGAUGCAACGCGAAGAACCUUACCUGGCCUUGACAUGUAGUGGACUGGGUGCGAAAUCACCCUUUUCUUCGGAACUGCUACACAGGUGCUGCAUGGCUGUCGUCAGCUCGUGUCGUGAGAUGUUGGGUUAAGUCCCGCAACGAGCGCAACCCCCGUGUCCUGUUGCCACCCGGAUGAGAAUCCGGAGCACUCUGGACAGACUGCCUGGUUUCAACCAGGAGGAAGGUGGGGAUGACGUCAAGUCAGUAUGGCCCUUACGGCCAGGGCUGCACACGUACUACAAUGCCUAGUACAAUGGGACGCAAGACCGCGAGGUGGAGCAAAUCCCCAAAACUAGGCUCAGUUCAGAUUGUAGGCUGCAACUCGCCUACAUGAAGGAGGAAUCGCUAGUAAUGCCGUAUCAGCUACGACGGCGUGAAUACGUUCCCAGGCCUUGUACACACCGCCCGUCACAUCAUGAAAGUUGAUUGUACCCGAAGUCGCUGAGUUAACCGUAAGGAGACAAGUGCCGAAGGUAUGGUUGGUAAUUGGGAUGAAGUCGUAACAAGGUAGCCGUAGGGGAACCUGUGGCUG
RNAcentral lists this ribosomal RNA (1202 nucleotides) under marine metagenome. RNAcentral describes it as "bacterial SSU rRNA". It matches the Rfam family "Bacterial small subunit ribosomal RNA", at positions 329 to 1520 of the family's 1533-position model. The record is from RNAcentral.